UUUGAAUAGUUAUAAUAUAUUUAUUUAUUUAAUUAGAUGAGAUUAUUUCUAUUAUUAUUAUUUUAUAUUUUGGGUUUGUGCAGUUAGUUGAGCGGUAUUUAGCCCAAAUAGGAAGCGAAAGUAGAUUCCCUCAAUUUGGUUUGGCGGUUGAAGGACGUUUGCCUUUGUUGCUUUUGUCGGUUGAGUUAAACCAAACCCAAACCCAAAGAAAUCCAAUCUCAUUUUCAUUUCUCCUUCCCCGUGAAAAUCCAUUUCAUUCAAAACCCCAAACCCCAAUUCUCUCUCUUUCUCUCGCGGAUCCUGCCCGAUACCCCACCGACGAACGACCGCCGGACUUGCGCUGCUGCUGCUCGUCGGUGUUCGCCUAUUGUCGCGUCUUCCCUCGGCCGAAGUUUUCCCCUUGUCGGCGCCGUCUGUUCUCGUUUUCUCUCUCCUACUCUGUUUCGUCGCUGGUGGUGGUGUUCCUGUUCGCCGCUACGUGUGUCGCACCACUAGUACGCCGCCUCACCGGACCCGCGUUGUUAAUUUGUCACCUCGCCCCUGCCGUACGUGUCUUCCCUACUCUUGAGGCAGAGAUUGGAGAAAGAGGGUACAUAUUAUCAAGCACAAGACGCAUUCUUAGUUACAAUUAAAGUACUAUGUGGUUUAUAAUUUGUCUAUGUAAAAAGAUCGGAGAAUAUUGCGUUUUUAUUUAGUUGCCAAUGGAACUUUUUUAUUUCAAGUACAUUUAAUGUAAAGAUAUUAAAAAUUUUAAAUUAAUAAUAAUAUUUCGUUAUUCCAUAUUAAAAA
This is a long non-coding RNA of Beta vulgaris subsp. vulgaris (sugar beet), 789 nucleotides long. RefSeq lists it as uncharacterized. The transcript is spliced from 2 exons. NCBI's taxonomy places the organism in Eukaryota, Viridiplantae, Streptophyta, Magnoliopsida, Caryophyllales, Amaranthaceae. The record is from RefSeq and is a predicted model, not a curated record.